This is a long non-coding RNA of Egretta garzetta (little egret), 1692 nucleotides long. RefSeq lists it as uncharacterized. The transcript has 2 exons. Lineage: Eukaryota; Metazoa; Chordata; Aves; Pelecaniformes; Ardeidae. The record is from RefSeq and is a predicted model, not a curated record.
UUCUCUGAUUUUUUGACUUCUUUUUGACUUAAGCGUAACAGUUCUCAGGGGAGUUUAGACUAGAGAGAGUUUUUAGAUGUUCUCAUAUCUGCACAUUAAUGUAGGAAAAGUAUUUUCUUCUACUUCGAUUUACCUAUGUAGAACUCUUUGUAUUAUUGUUCUGUUAGGAGCUAGCCUUUUAAGAGAGAUGAAUCCAAUCCCUAUCCUGAGGUGGUCAGGCUCCAACUGUAAUUAACAGAGAUCUAGUCGAUAGAGCAAUUAAUCUGAUGAAACGUAGGUGGGUUUUUGUUCUGCUCUGCAGCGCUAAAAGAUGCUGUACUCCGAACUGUAAAUACUGUCAAAUUGUAUUUGCUUUGCCUUUGAAAAAAAUUAACAAACUUUGGACCUUUCACUGUAAUUUUGUUCUAUGUGUACACAGGAGGAGGGGAUGGGUUGUUUUUUUUUAACUUUGAAGAUUUUCACUAGUAGUCUGUUAUCUUGUGCUUUUCAUCGUGGUGACUGUACUGUCUCUGUAUUUCUCAAGGUCAUCGGUGCUGGAAGGUCAGUACUGUGGGAAGGGCUGCAUUUUCUGCAGCAACUGUUACAGUCUCAUGGCAUCCAUCCCAUUUGAUUCUUGUCUUAAGCAUGGGAUUAGCUCCUGCCUUUUGGCACGGGCUUCUGGAUGGGCAGAGAAUACGGAAAGCAUUAAUAAGGUCCACGAUACAAAAUAGGAAAGCUGUUGAAGAGCCCUUCCUCCUGGUUUUACACAAAGUCAUACUGCUUGAUUUGAAAGAGGACAAAGUCAUUUUUGUUUGCCUACUGCUAUAUGGGUGGAGUUGCUCCAUUUGUUUGAGUAGAUGAAAAAAUGUGACGCUGGCAUUUUUAUACUUGGGGUGCUGCGGUAGUUUUUGGCUGGUAGGAGGUACAAACAGCCUGCAAUACCCCGAGCGAGGACGAGGCUGCCUCAAAAGAUGGCGUGCAUGUCUACUUUCUGCUUUUGGUCUCUGUCUGUCAGGUAGGUAGGGAGAUAUCCAGGCUGCCAGGGCUCUCAACGUACCCUGUGCUAGAGGCGGGAAUUCUUCUUGACCCCAUCUUCUUGAGCUCCUUUCUUGCCUGUGGUGACGAGCAGUAAGCAGCAUGCUGCAGCUGAACUCUGGUCGCUGUAUAUUUAUCAGUGGUCUUCUGCUUAUAAUUGGCAAAGUCUUCGGUAUUCGUGUAGUGAUCUCUAUGCUAGCUUCCCUUUUUCUGUGUUUAACCUGCCUUGCUCGGAUAGCAAUGUAGCAGCAGCGUGAAGAUGCGCCUACACCUACAGCUCGGCUGAUCUAAUGAUAUCUCGGUGCUGCUGGGAGAAGGAGGCCCUGUUUUUCCCUUCCACUCUCAGGUUAGCAGGUGGAGUUUGCUCAGGGGGAGAUCCAGUAAGCUCCAGGGCUGGUGCAGAACGAGGGAGGCACUCCUGCAGCUGGGGACGUGAGUGAGGAAAGCAGAAGCUGCUUUCCCCUUUUCAGGGUGGUGAGUUGCCUGUUAGUUCUACCGUGCUGUGUAGUGUCACCCGGGCUUGCAGCAAUCCAGUGCAGCCUGGGACUGUCCUGACCAGCAACCAGUUUAGCUCAUGCUGCUGGUGCUGGAUCUCAUCAGGGUGUGGCCAUGGGUUGAGGAGAUCCUGUGAGCUGAUACAAUAGGGAAACUCAUCUUCCUUUUUAGUGUUUUUACUGG